This 253-nucleotide ribosomal RNA is filed under the name uncultured bacterium. RNAcentral's name for it is "partial 16S ribosomal RNA". It matches the Rfam family "Bacterial small subunit ribosomal RNA", at positions 524 to 776 of the family's 1533-position model. The record is from RNAcentral.
UACGGAGGGGGCUAGCGUUGUUCGGAAUUACUGGGCGUAAAGCGCACGUAGGCGGCUUUGUAAGUUAGAGGUGAAAGCCCGGGGCUCAACUCCGGAAUUGCCUUUAAGACUGCAUCGCUAGAAUUGUGGAGAGGUAAGUGGAAUUCCGAGUGUAGAGGUGAAAUUCGUAGAUAUUCGGAAGAACACCAGUGGCGAAGGCGACUUACUGGACAAAUAUUGACGCUGAGGUGCGAAAGCGUGGGGAGCAAACAGG